Molecule: ribosomal RNA, 254 nt
Filed under: uncultured bacterium
Lineage: Bacteria
Description: partial 16S ribosomal RNA
Rfam family: Bacterial small subunit ribosomal RNA
Source: RNAcentral
UACGUAGGUGGCAAGCGUUGUCCGGAUUUACUGGGCGUAAAGCGUAUGCAGGCGGAUGGUUAAGUAGGAAGUGAAAGGUUGGAGCUCAACUCUAACACUGCUCCCUAUACUGGCCGUCUUGAGUGCCGGAGAGGACAAGGGAACUUCACGUGUAGCGGUGAAAUGCGUUGAGAUGUGAAGGAACACCAAUGGCGAAAGCACUUGUCUGGACGGAGACUGACGCUGAGAUACGAAAGCCAAGGGAGCGAACAGGA